UACAGAGGUCUCAACCGUUGUUCGGAUUCAUUGGGCGUAAAGGGUGCGUAGGCGGUCGCGCAAGUCGGAUGUGAAAUCCCACGGCUCAACCGUGGAAGUGCAUUCGAAACUGCAGGGCUAGAGUCCUGGAGAGGAAGGUGGAAUGCUUGGUGUAGAGGUGAAAUUCGUAGAUAUCAAGCGGAACACCGGUGGCGAAGGCGGCCUUCUGGACAGUGACUGACGCUGAGA
This 228-nucleotide ribosomal RNA is filed under the name uncultured bacterium. Its description in RNAcentral is "partial 16S ribosomal RNA". It matches the Rfam family "Bacterial small subunit ribosomal RNA", at positions 524 to 751 of the family's 1533-position model. The record is from RNAcentral.